RNAcentral lists this long non-coding RNA (5262 nucleotides) under Cricetulus griseus (Chinese hamster). RNAcentral describes it as "lncRNA (ENSCGRG00015031912.1)". The record is from RNAcentral. Lineage: Eukaryota; Metazoa; Chordata; Mammalia; Rodentia; Cricetidae.
UUAGGACAGUGAGCUACUGGUUUGGAAAGCUGCAAGCAUGAUCCUAUCCAGGAGGACAUGGGCUCAUGACUGUCACGGGUGUGUACAGCCUACAGCAUGCAGCUUGUCUCUGCAGCACGGGGCUGCACCUUUCUUCCAGAGGGACAUCACUACCAAACAAAACCUAGGUAUUUUGCUUAAAAGCAAUUGUUGUCUAAUAAUGGGCAUGAAGGUCUGAGUGACAAGAAAAGGUUUUUAAACAGGUAAAAAUGUGAAAGCCUUUUAUAAAAUGUUUUAUUACACUAUUGUUACAUGAGAAUGAACCAAAAAAUUAAAUUGUAGGCAAUUAAAAACCCCCACAAGUCAUGGUGAAGCAGGAAGAUUUGCUGAGGGCUCCUUUAUUCCCAGUGAGUUUGGCAUCCUGAGGCCUGUGGUGAUAGUAACAGAGAGUCUAAAAUGGUAAGAUUGAGCACACGCUAUAAAAUGAGGAGGGUUUUAUAGUGGCUGCAUUUUAUUUGCGUGUAAAGCCUCUAUCCUUUCUGCCUCUAAAGAACACUUGUUGCCAAGUUAGAGCAUCCAGACAUAACGCAAGGUAAACCCUGAGGAAAUCAUGCAAAAUGCUGCUGGGUGGGUUUUGAAAGCCCACGGAUUCUUUUCUCACUUAAUGCAACUAGGGCUUUGCUUUCCCUGAGCAAGACAAGUGUCAGUGGUUUCCUCCCUAAGAUCUGCAGGAGGAGGCUGUUUUUAGCUGAGAGCUGCUGCUUUGCCUAUCACUGAAGUGUGGUUGUAGGAUGCCUGGGAGAGAAGGCAGCUGGAGAGAAGGAAGGCAGAAGGGGAACGCUGGGAGGGAGAGCUCGGGGCUAACAAGGCAGUGCGCUGGGGAUGUACUCACCCAGCAAGGGCAACUUGGAGCCAGGCGGAUCAGGGUGUGUGUGUGGGGCGGCUUUUUGGCAAUCCCUCGCCUUUUAGGUUCUCUCACUUGUUUGAUAUUCUAGGGAGUUCUGACUUAUUUGUACCAUUCCAAUGAUACUGCGAGGUUAAAAAUAUGUUUCCGUGUACAUAGCAAUUAACACAGGCUCUGUGGAGUGGAAUAUUCCAGGAUUUAGGAGACUGCUAGACUUUUUAUUGUCUCUAGCCAGCAGAUGGCGGUAGUGUACCACAGAAGAGCACAGGGCGAGCGCUUGGUGAAACCCGGAGGUUCAGUUUUGUUUUGCUUUGUUUUUUAAGCUUGACAAUACCCAUCUAUAUAUCCUGUGGGCGCACAGUGUUUGAGCCUAGUCUAAUCUUAAACUUGUUUUAUGAUGAUAUCAUUAUUUUUUACUGCUACAAAUUAACUGUCGGUUUCAAUCUACCCCAUAUUUCAGCUGCCUUGGGGGAUCAUCUUGUCAGUUGUGCGGCUUUCCAAUUUUAUGACUGAGAUCAAGACUGAUUCCUUAAAGGCACAUGGGAAACAAUGAAAUGUGGGGCGGUGACAGUGAGCUCCGUUCGGUGGCCACUCCUGGAGGUGAUCAGGAAUGCGAGGGAAGGGCAAGCCACUAAGUCCAUGGUUCUUUUGAAAAGUGACUGCCUUGACAUUUACUCAGGUUCAGUCACUCAUUUAGGUAUGAUCCUCACCAUCAAUGGAGUGGAGUGGGGCUUCAUGAAUCCUAAUAUUAUCCUACAGAGUUAUGUUCAAACACAGGAGAAAGUAAAGAGAGUUUCCAGGGCACAGACAUCCUUGUUGAUUCACAGGAAAUUCUUUCUUCUUUAGCAGGGACCUAAGGCGCCUGCAAACAAUCAGUGUUUACUCUCCCUAGAGUCUGGGGCCUUCUGGAUACCUACUGGGUGCUUGCCCUUGUGUGAAAAGUCCUUGUGAACUUACAGGCCAGAAGCUCCCGACUGCUGCCUAAUCUUUUCCUGAAGCGUAAGGGCAAAAGAGAUUAGGAUCUUCUUGAUAGAGUUGGCAGAGCACCAUUGAUUGAUGAUAAACUUGAAGGAGAAAGGGGUCAUAUUGCAGCUUGCCCCAGUCAAAGAUUUCCGUCAGCCGCAUAGGGUUGUAAAUCCGUUGCCAGCCAGAACACUGUCCAUGGACCGGCUGAGAGGCAGGGACAAUUGAAGCCCAGAGGCGGUGAAAGGGCCAGGCUGCUCCUGAAAUGCCGGGUGGACAGAAGUGUGGGUUCAGGCUUCUCUAAAAUCAUCUGUUGUCUGCAGAACGGCUGCUCUGGCUUCUUGAGCAAUCUGUGACCCGGGGCUCCUCUCAUCUCUUCCCCUCCCCACCUUCUGCACUUACUUAUAUAAUUGCUAGUUCUGCUUCUCUAACAUAGAAUUACUUGCAGAAUUUUCUUUUAAAUAGAAUGUCGGAACCCCAGCUUCUAGAAUGAGUUGGUUUUUUUAUUAGAAUAAAUAAAAGUGGCUACUCUAGAGCAGGUCCGACACGAGCAAGGUUCUUUCCAGGUUUUAUUUUAUCGUGCAUGUGAGCGUGAGUGCAUCAGAUGUCUUUGUCAAUCACUUCUCCACCUUAGUUUCUGAGACAUUAUCUCUCACUGAUGCUAGAACUCCAUCUUUAAGCUAAACUAGCUGGCCAGAAAGCCCCAGGACUCCUCCUGCCUCUGCCUCCUCCCAGGUGCUGGCCCUGACUCUCAGGUGCUGGCCCUGAUGCCUCCCAGGUGUUGUCUCUGCCUCCCUGGUGCUGAGAUUCUGGUGGGUACUGCUGCUGGGCCCAGCUGUUUCACAAAUGCUGGGGAAUCUGAACUCAGGCCCUUACAUUUGCAUGGCAAGCAUAUACUUUCCAGUCUAAACCAGCCCCCAAUUUUAAUUUUAUUAUACUCUUUUUCGAACUGAAUAUUGUUGUUUGUACUCUUUUUCUGUAUGAUACCUGCAGUUCAGAGGUUGAUGCAUUUUCCUACUGAAGGACAAAUUGAAAAUGAAAGCAGUGUCUGUCCGUGUUCCUCCCACAACGUGGUACUCCUUCUCUUUUAAAACAUUGCUGCUGUAACACCGUUUCAUGGUCCUGGACAGGUGGAACAGACAGAGAAAGGUAGAAAGUCCAAGAGAGACUGACACCUGCAAAUGUAUCAGGUAGAAGAGUCAAUACACAGAGGCUUCAAGGUUUCCAAUGGCUGGAUCUGCAGAGGUUUUGGAUAUUGGGAAACACAAUCAGGAGACUCUCCCUGGGGAUUUAGCCCACAGAGAGGGGCUGGCUUAUAUUGAGCCAGCGCUUCAGAGCUCCAUUGAUUGUGGAGUUAAAGGCAUAGAGGAAAAGCACAUUCUGAACUGCUAUGCCGGGGAAGUAUUUGCCUGGAUGCAGGGUAUAAAGGAAGGAUGCUAAUGCACUGGUCCUUUUGGCUCUUAGGCAAGGAUAACAACAGGGCUGGCAGCAGCAUCAUAUGACACAGACAGCCACAGGUAUUUAUGUAGAAGAAAAAGCUCACACAGUGAGAGCAGUGCCCAGAAACAUGUUGAAUGCUGAGCACGGUGCAAAUGGGCCCACUAUUGAUCUUUAGUGGAAAUGUUCAUGUCUGCCUCAUGAACAAAUAUUUCUCUGGAGACCUCCUCUAAAGAAAUAUUUAGUCUAACCUCUCCUCUCCUCUUUACAUUUUAGGGCUUCUCACUGGGCAGUAGGCUAGGGAACAAUCCCAGAAGACUUUAGGAGAAGACUUUGAGACAAUGUGUUUCUUGUUCUCCUACCAAGAGUGUGGUGGCAUUUUUGACCCAAUAGCAGCUCAUACAUAGGCUGUAAACAUAUGUUUUCGAUAUUUGCAACUUAUCUAGGGGAACUGGACUCCAAGGCAUCAAGCAAUCCUGCCAGAUUCUUGGGCUUAUGUUCAUAAGUUGUCUCAAUGGUAAUAUAUUUUGUAAGGCUAUAUGGAUCUCUGGGAUGCUAGCAUGAUUUGUAUUUGUAGAAAAGAUUGGAUUAUUAUACUGCUUUGUGUAUGUGCACAGUGUGUGCUAUGUAUGUAUAGCUAUAGGUUAUAUGUGCCUCUAUACACAUACACAUGGUCUAGAAUAAGACACUGAGCUUCUUACUCUACUGCUCUCUGCCUAUUCUCUUGAGACUUGGUCUCUCACUGAGUUGGAAGCUUGUUGUUUCUUCUAGUCUGCUGGCUAGAGAGCUCAGGAGCCACCUGUCUCCAUGUCCAAAAUCUGGAAUUACAAGAACAUGAAGCCAUGGACAGUUUAUAUAUGAGUACUGGAUAUUUGGACUCAGAUCCUUAUGCAUGCAGAGAAGUGCUCUAAACCACUGGGCCAUCUUCCUAGUGCCUGUAUUUUUUAGUCACUCAUUUGGGAAGUGUUACCAAAGGAAGGGGAUGAAUUGUGAUGGAAACCUUGGAGAACCAGGCACAUGAAGCUACUUUACAAUCUUUUAACUGGAGCAAGUCACUUUCUAUAAGUGUCAGAAUUUCCACCAGUUAAAGUUGGAAUAAUCAUCCCCUCUCUAGAUUCUCUGGUUGUACAGAGUAUAAGGGAUGUAUAAGGAUUUAAAAUUGGAAAUUGUUUUAGAAGCAUGGCUAGUAGAAAAAUUGUACUUACUGAGUUGCUUUUAUGCAUGACAAGCAGUGCUAAAGCAACACUGCUAUACCAGUAUGGAGCUUUACCUAAAUAUCCAUUAAGUGUAUCUAAUACAAAAUAUAGCACUGCAAUCAAAAUGAUAAACCAAUGCUUUUUUUUUUUUUGGUUAAAACAAGGAACCAAGAAAAUAUGGGCUAAAUUUUACCUCUGCCAUUUUGUGACCUUGUCAUUUAACUUCUUUAGUUCUCACUUAUAAAUGAAAGCUAACGUUUCUGCUUCAUGGAGGUGUGGGAGGGACUUAGGGAGACACAGUACCACGGAAUGAAUGAAUGACAAAGGAUGUGUAUAAAAUUAACAGAUUAGCUAGGAACUUGCAUAUACUCCCACAUAUAGAGUAAUUCCUAUUUGCUUUAUUGGAAAUGUGCCCUCACUAAAGUAUUAACUCGUGAUUUUAAGAAUUCAUGGAGGCUGGAUAGUGGUGGUGCACUCCUUUAAUUCCAGUACUUGGGAGGCAAAGGCAGGCAGAUCACAUAUGACUUCAAGGCCAGCCUGGUCUACAGAGUGAGUUCCAGGACAGGCUCCAAAGCUACAGAGAAACCCUGUCACAAACAAACAAACAAGAAUUCAUUAAGUUGGGCCCGGUGGUUUAGGCCUGUAGUUGUAGCUCCUGGGAGCCUGAGGACCAUAUGUUUAAGGUCUGCUUGGGCUACAAACUGAGUUUAAGCUAGCCUGGGCAAUUUAAUGAGAUUUUGUCUCAAAAUAAAAAGUAAAAAGGGAACUAUGGAUAAAUCUCAG